UGACCUUACUGAAAACAAGACGUAGGUGACACCAGGGUUUAGGAAAACUCUGUAGAGACCACCUUGGAAAAAAACCAAUGUGGAGUGGAGGCCUGGGACUUUGUUCAAUUGAGUAAAAUCAAACAACAGACAAAGAUUGUUAUUCAACUUCAAGGUAGAACUACAUGAAGCAAUACUGUAUGAUAACCAAGGAUGCUAGAUGAAAGAACAACCCUUUGGUGGCUGGAGAUGUGGCUCAUAGAAUAAGAGCACUUGCUGAUUUGCCAGCAGACACAUAUUUGACCCCCAGAACCCAUGUCAGAUGGAUGAAAACCACAUAUAACUACAGCUACAGUGGAAUUGACAUUCUUUUUUAGUUUCCUCAGGUGAACAGGCAUGUGCUCACAUGCACACAUGCACACAUACACCUAUAUAAAUUAAUCAAAAAAUCCACAAUGAACACUUCUUUUGUAUGGGUUAGUUUUUGUAAGUGAUAUUCCAUGUUUUAAUGUGUCACUGAACAAUAGUCAAAUUUUUUGUUUUGCACAAAUAACUCAGAAUUCCUAUUUAUUCAACUUUAGAGAAAGGGGUGUUAAAAUGACUAGGAAGCUAGUUCCUAUGAGUCCGAAGAGAGCAGAUUAUGUCCAGUCUUGGAGAAUAUUAAGAACCCUGGUGUUAAGAUUUUUAAGAUUGUGAGGAAAUAUUAAAGUUGCUGUAUCCACAGAACUUCCUGUUUGCAUACUCUCCUUAUUUUGUAGACAGGUUGUCAUGCUGCCUCUUGACAGGAAUGGGGCAAUGAAAGUUUAUUGUUAGGUGUUUGUGAAGUCAUGCUAGAUUCCUCAGCUUCCUUGUAUGUAUUCAUGAGAAAUGCACUGUUCUUUUCCCAUGGAUUAGUGACUUCUCAGUGGAAAGACCUGAAGUGUGAAUCAUGUAUGUCCUCUUAUUAGAAGAAGGGUCUGUAAAUAUGAAGGCCUUCACAUAUCCUGUCUGGAGGUUAGUCCUUAUUACCUUAAGGGGGAUUGUCGAUAAGGGGAUCUAGAACAAGUUGGCUUGCAGACAUGUCUGUAGCAAAUUGUCUUCAUUGAAGAUCCAGUCUAAAAGUAUGCUGCAACAUUUCUUAGACUUGAAUCUUGGACUCUAUGGAUUUUUUUUCUCUUCAACUGAGCUAGCAUGUUUAGCCAACAAAACUUUAGAAAGAGAAUAUAAAAAGCAAACUGGUGAUUUCACAACUAAGUUUUGGUUCAGCUUCUGAUGCCUAGAUUUUUGUGUACAUUUUAGGAAGAAAUACAGCUCAGUAUAUCUUGGAGUUUUGCACCUAGCCACUCCUUUGUGCAAAUAGCUGACAUCAUUCUUGUGCUCCCCUAUUGAGCUGUGUAUUCUUGCAGAAGAGAAGUGUGUCAUGAUGAAACACCUAUUGUGAAUGAAGGGUCUUGAGUUAUAACCCCUAUUUUGUCUCUUACAUCUUCUUGCAUGCUAAGAUUGCAGCUAUGUAUUACUACAAUGUCCAAUUUAUCUGGUGCAAGACAUCAAAUUUCAUCUAUGCUAGUCAACCACUUUACCAACUAAACCAUACCCCCAAGCACUCUAAGAGAUCUUUUAAAAGUGCCUCAUAUGCAUCCCUGUUCUGUGAACCAGCCAUCUCCUUGUUCAUUCUCCAGUGGACACCCGAUUGUAAUUAUUUGGGGGAUGUUUUUUGCUACCUAUCCUUCAGGCAUAAGGUAUGGAAUGAUAGGGCAGUGAUAGGGGCAGGUGAAUCCUGGGCACUGGCUGGCCAGGUAGUCUAACUGAAAUACCAAGCUAAAGACUGAGGAAGAGACUUUGUCUAACAAUAAGCAAGACAGAUAUAUGAUUGAAGAAGAUAUCCAAAGUUGGCAUUGGCCUUCCACACAAGUCUACACAAUGAGCACACUGACCUAAGUAUAGAAGUUUGUCUAUACAAACAUAAAACUUAAAAUUUUAAAAUGAAAAGGCACAUGAAGAUGUUGCUGAUCAUCUCCUAGAUACAUCCCUUCCAACUUCAGCUCUCAUUACCCCAGAGGAGAAUUAGAGCUGCCUAUGGUCUCAGUCCCUCCGUGAGCUCCUCCAACACUGGCUUGUUGUUGUUGUUGUUGUGGUGGUGGUGGUGGGGGUGGUGGUGGUUUUAAAUAAGCUCCCUAUGUGGGCUAUUAAAUAAAGUAGGGACAAAUGAGUGAAAUUAUACAUCUGGUUUUCACUCCAGGACAAGUUGUUAUGUUUGUCUGAAUCUAAUUUCCCUUUGUGCAGAUCACUGAACUGAACCUCAGAUUCUGUCAGUGCCAGGAUGAGAGUAUUAAUGGUGGAUUUUCAUUAAUAAAAUUGCUGGGUAACUCUGGAAAGAAAAUGUGACCAGUGUGGACCACUGUCUGCCUUGGUUUAGAUCCCAAAGUCUUUGGACUGAACUGAGGAAAGCAUGAUAAAGGACAGUGCUCCUUUCUAAAGGAUCUUUCCAUUCUGGAUACCUUGGGUAUGACCAACAGUUUCCAUUCAUUGAAUCAAAGGAAGUGAGUAGUUUGAUGGAGAAUGUGACCUACUGUCUUAGGUAGGUGGUAAAGAAAUUGAAAUCUGGAAACAACUCAAAGGACUCACACACACACACACACACACACACACACACACACACACAUACGCACACACAUAUGUGCAUGAUGAGUUUCUCAGAUUGACUUUGAGCUACCCAUGG
This 2677-nucleotide long non-coding RNA is filed under the name Mus musculus (house mouse). RNAcentral's name for it is "long non-coding RNA chr16:6619136-6621813". The record is from RNAcentral. Lineage: Eukaryota; Metazoa; Chordata; Mammalia; Rodentia; Muridae.